Molecule: ribosomal RNA, 255 nt
Filed under: uncultured bacterium
Lineage: Bacteria
Description: partial 16S ribosomal RNA
Rfam family: Bacterial small subunit ribosomal RNA
Source: RNAcentral
CGGGGAAGGAUUAGCGGCGAACGGGUGAGGAACACGUGAGGAAUCUGCCUUCAACACUGGGAUAACUCCGGGAAACCGGGGCUAAUACCGGAUACGAGGCCUGCAGGCAUCUGCGGGUCUGGAAAGUUUUUCGGUUGAAGAUGACCUCGCGGCCUAUCAGCUAGUUGGUGAGGUAAUGGCUCACCAAGGCAACGAUCCAUAGCUGGUUUGAGAGGAUGAUCAGCCACACUGGGACUGAGAUACGGCCCAGACUCC